GUAUCGAUAUUAAUUUCAUAUAUGGAUGU
This 29-nucleotide small RNA is filed under the name Bombyx mori (domestic silkworm). RNAcentral's name for it is "ovarian small RNA-17669". Lineage: Eukaryota; Metazoa; Arthropoda; Insecta; Lepidoptera; Bombycidae. The record is from RNAcentral.